GGCGGAAUGCUUUACACAUGCAAGUCGAGCGGCAGCGCGGGGCAACCUGGCGGCGAGCGGCGGACGGGUGAGUAAUGCAUCGGAACAUGUCCAUUGAUGGGGGAUAGCCCGGCGAAAGCCGGAUUAAUACCGCAUGAGCCCGAGAGGGGAAAGUGGGGGACCGCAAGGCCUCACGUCGAUGGGUUGGCCGAUGCCCGAUUANCUAGUUGGUGAGGUAAUGGCUCACCAAGGCGAUGAUCGGUAGCUGGUCUGAGAGGAUGAUCAGCCACACUGGGACUGAGACNCGGCCCAGACUCCUACGGGAGGCANCAGUGGGGAAUUUUGGACAAUGGGGGCAACCCUGAUCCAGCCAUUCCGCGUGAGUGAAGAAGGCCUUCGGGUUGUAAAGCUCUUUUGUCCGGAGCGAAAAGGUUACGGUGAAUAUCCGUGACUACUGACGGUACCGGAAGAAUAANCACCGGCUAACUACGUGCC
RNAcentral lists this ribosomal RNA (474 nucleotides) under uncultured beta proteobacterium. RNAcentral's name for it is "bacterial SSU rRNA". It matches the Rfam family "Bacterial small subunit ribosomal RNA", at positions 38 to 509 of the family's 1533-position model. The record is from RNAcentral. Lineage: Bacteria; Pseudomonadati; Pseudomonadota; Betaproteobacteria.